AACAAUGAAUGCAGUGUGAGUGUGGAGUCCAGAAUCAGCGCCUGAAAACAACUCCCAUGCUGGUGGAGAGUAGUUGCAUGAUUGUUUCUACAUGACAAGCAAAUUAAGGAACACCAAGUAUCCUCCUUUUAUUAUUUAAACAUCUCCCUAUCUUACUUGGUUGUUGAUAUCUGAAAAAGGAGUAAGAGAUGACAAUGGGAGGAUUAUUACUAUCUCAGAAAGGGAAUGGAAACGGGCAGCAGAGGCCAAGACCCUGUGGGUUGGUGCUGCUUUUGCCUUUUGGCCUUUGGGGUUGCAAUGCUUGCUAUUAUGGCCCUCCACAAGCUCCGCGAGAGACGCAUUUUCAACCUCCUCCUCCAAGAGAACAGCCAUCACCUCAUUUCCCUUCAGCUCCUGCUGCAGGUCUCCCUGCUUUUCUAUCAUAUAUUACAUAAAUAAUUUGUUUUGAGGGUUCUACAUGUGUUGUGUUUUUCAUUACAGAAACAAACAGAAUACACCAAACAACUGAAAGGGAAAGCUGAAGAGACAAAAGCAAAGAUGAACUCUCUUAGAAAGCAGAAAAUGGAGUUGGAUCAUAGGCUCUUGGAAAUGCUAUCUACCAUUGAUUCCCUCAAAGACGAGCAAAAGACCAUGGAGUCUGAACUGGUGGAUAAACAAAACCAGAUCAAACUCCUCCGACAUUCCGGAAACCAAAAUCCUCAGCUCCCAGCUUUAAUAACAACUUUGAAGCAAAAGGAGGAUGAAAUCCAGGACUUGAAUCACCGCCUCAACUCCUCCUCUCUCACUACUCAUCACCCAGCAAAUCCUCCAAUAAAUAUAACAAUUAUGGAGCCAAAGACAGCGUUGACACUUGGCCGUGAGGAUGGUGGAGGUGCUGAUAAUUCUCCAAAAGGUCAGGACAAAACUAAAUUGAGUUAUCCUCAUCAUCAGGAAGACAACAGAGAAUGGGUUGAAAAUGGAGAUGAGAAAAAGGGCGAGACAACAUUGAAAAUGAAAUGAAUUCUAAACAUACAACAAUGUAUAUGGAAAAGAAUCAUGCAAAUGCUACUGCAACAUUUGAGCACAUGUGGAUGAAGGCAAAAACAGGAGUAGUCCCCAACAAGAAGGUGAGCUUCAUAAAAGCAAACCAAGUCAUCAAGGUAGGAACAAACUGGAAACGGAUGAGAGUAGUAAGAUUUCAAGCUUAGCAGAGAGAUUUGGAAAUUUAAGCACAACAAAAGGGAUGAUAUUUGCAAAGAAGAGAUUCCUUGAGAAUGUUGGAAAAUGUUUGAAGAAUGCAAAUUCUGAAAUAGAUGGAGUGGUAAGCACAAGUAGAAUAUUUUCAACAGAAUAUCAAGAUGUAAGAAGCAUGGAAGAGUGGGGCAAACCCAAAACAGGUCUGAGGAAGGAAAUGGAUCUUGCAACAGCUAAUUGUUGAGGCAUCACAACUCUGAGGCAAUGUCCACCAACAAAGAUAACUGCGAGGCAAGACAAGUUUCAGAAAACACUGGUGUCAAUGGAGAAGCCAGUAAUAACACAAAUGAAGUCAAUCAGCAAAAUUUUGAAGCAAGCAAUGAUAACAGCAGGGACUUGGAAGAACAGGAAAAGGAAGUUGCCGAAAGAGAUGAAAUGGAAGAUAUGGAGGUUACAGAUAAACAAGCAGCAACAAAUGGUGACCUUUCCGGUGAUUUUAUGUCUGAUUCACAAGAUAAACAAGGGUACAAGGAAGAAAUGGGCGAGUCUUGAGACUGAGUUUUAGUUAACACCACUUCUCAAGUGUUAUGUCCUAGCUUUUAAGUAUCUUAUUUCAGUAAUUGACUAUCCUUUCUUUAAGCAAUGAAGGAAAUUAUGUUUAGAAUUAGUAAAAAUCUACAUGGUAGUUCAAGUGUUCAUUGUUGUUGGUCUUACUUUCACAAGUAUAUGCCUAAAAAAGUACUUUUCAAUUGUUUGAAACAUUUUUACCUUCUGGUUUCAAACAAACACGAAAAGGAAUACGGAAAUCAUUUUCAGAAAUAAAUGAAACCUGG
RNAcentral lists this long non-coding RNA (2006 nucleotides) under Gossypium barbadense (sea-island cotton). RNAcentral's name for it is "long non-coding RNA (GBAR_LNC012214)". Lineage: Eukaryota; Viridiplantae; Streptophyta; Magnoliopsida; Malvales; Malvaceae. The record is from RNAcentral.